AGCACCAGAAAAAGGCAGUCUCCCUAUAGAUAGAAAACAGCUGAAACAGAUGACCAGCAGCUUCCUGGUAAGAUCUCAGGAGCUGGGCGAGUCGGCUCAACCCUGCGUAUUAAACUUCUGAAGAGGCAAGAAUUGAGGUUGCUGCAGACCUGUAGGUCUUCACCACUGCUAACACCCAGACUGUCACUGUCAAUGUGAAGAAAGUCUCUGCAUCACAUACUAAGAAAAUUGAAUUUGCAGGAACCCAGCUCCUACAUCAAAUAUAUGUGCCCUUAUCUUGUUUUUAUUCCUAUAGCUAUUAAUUGAAACCACUUGAAAAAGAGUUGACUAUAUAGAUACACAGCUGAUUAGUGAGAAAUAGAAUGCAAUGCAACAUGACUCCUGACUCCAAAGCUCCCAGCCCUUCUCUCCACCAUGCUUGCUGCAUUUUAAGUGUCAGGAAGGGAAGGACACCUUAGAAGGAUGAAAGCACAG
This 474-nucleotide long non-coding RNA is filed under the name Homo sapiens (human). Its description in RNAcentral is "non-protein coding lnc-USP53-10:1". The record is from RNAcentral. Lineage: Eukaryota; Metazoa; Chordata; Mammalia; Primates; Hominidae.